UGCAUCCUUUAUUUUUUAUAC
This 21-nucleotide non-coding RNA is filed under the name Caenorhabditis elegans. The record is from RNAcentral. Lineage: Eukaryota; Metazoa; Nematoda; Chromadorea; Rhabditida; Rhabditidae.